Molecule: transfer RNA, 65 nt
Filed under: Cryptocephalus androgyne
Lineage: Eukaryota; Metazoa; Arthropoda; Insecta; Coleoptera; Chrysomelidae
Description: tRNA-Cys
Rfam family: tRNA
About the family: Transfer RNA (tRNA) molecules are approximately 80 nucleotides in length. Their secondary structure includes four short double-helical elements and three loops (D, anti-codon, and T loops).
Source: RNAcentral
GGCUUUAUAGUUAACUAUAACAUUAGAUUGCAAAUCUGAAGACGAAAAUAUAUUUUCUAAGGCUU